Molecule: unclassified non-coding RNA, 290 nt
Filed under: uncultured fungus
Lineage: Eukaryota; Fungi
Description: sequence contains ITS1, 5.8S rRNA gene
Rfam family: 5.8S ribosomal RNA (bases 242-290)
Source: RNAcentral
UUUCCGUAGGUGAACCUGCGGAAGGAUCAUUACUGAGGUUGUGCGGUUUGCCCGUGAGCGGGCGCCGGCCACCCGUCCUUGCGUCAUAUGCAGCGGGGAGACCCGAGAGAAUCACUUCGGCGGAGGUGCCGUGGGACUCCUGGCGACGGGAGGACCGCGGCCGCCGCCGGUCGUAGGAAGCAAAAGUCUGUUUUGCAGCAGUGUAAGAAUGUCUGGAGAAACGAAAACCGAAACGAAGAAAAACUUUCAACAACGGAUCUCUUGGCUCUGGCAUCGAUGAAGAACGCAGC